This 378-nucleotide unclassified non-coding RNA is filed under the name Argentina leuconota. RNAcentral's name for it is "Potentilla leuconota partial external transcribed spacer". Lineage: Eukaryota; Viridiplantae; Streptophyta; Magnoliopsida; Rosales; Rosaceae. The record is from RNAcentral.
UGCUUCAGCAUCGAACCGUCCGCGCACGCUCCAUGUCAGUGACGCAUCAAGAAUUUCUUGUGCCCCGAACGGAUUCCUGUAUUUGUUGCCUAUCGUAAAGGAAUGGUUCCUCUCGUUGACCCUUUCCUUCCCCGACCCAUGCGGCCUGGGGAAGGACAUCAUAGCAACGCUUGUGCCCCUAGUUCUGAACGUGCCUCAUGGCGCGCACAUUGCGAAGGUUCCCAAGUUGCAUGCUUGAUAUCUCGGAUACGGAAAAUGCGGUGGACUCGGGGUCUUUGCACCCUUGCACGUCCAAUUUAAAGCGAAAUGUACGACUGCCAAGCUCGUUGCGGGGUUUCCCGCGCGCUGCUUGGCGUCGACAAAGGAUGCUACCUGGUU